This is a non-coding RNA of Elaeis guineensis (African oil palm), 2122 nucleotides long. The record is from RefSeq and is a predicted model, not a curated record. NCBI's taxonomy places the organism in Eukaryota, Viridiplantae, Streptophyta, Magnoliopsida, Arecales, Arecaceae.
UGGCCCGCGAUCCGGCGCGGACAUCAGCCUUAGAUAUAAAACCCUAUUAACCUCUUCACCAGUUCUCCCACUCGCAACGCGAGCCUCGCGUCUCUCUUUUCCCAUGGGGGCUCUCCGACUCCCAUCCCUCGCCCUCCUCUUCUCCCCAUCCAAAGCCCUCCGAUCCUCCUCCGCUUCCCGCCCCCUCCGCCUGCGGCCACCGGUCAUUCGCAAGGUCUCCGCCUCCCUCUCCGGUGGCGCAAGCAGAGCUCUCUCCACCCAGAGCCUCGCCAACGAGGAGGCCACGCCGCCAUCCGCGGCUGACCGAAAGCCCUCCUCGGGCCCGGAGGGUUCGGUGACCCCUCGAUCGGUGGACUUCAAUGCGUGGUACCUUGAUGUUAUCGCCAGCGCGGAGCUCGCGGACUAUGGCCCUGUCCGCGGCACCAUGGUCAUCCGCCCAUAUGGCUAUGCCAUCUGGGAAUCCAUCCAGGAAUAUCUGAAUUCAAAGUUCAAGGAAACUGGACAUAGCAAUAUGUACUUUCCUCAGUUUAUUCCAUACUCAUUUAUAGAGAAGGAAGCGAGCCAUGUUGAAGGUUUCAGUCCAGAAUUAGCACUUGUGACCAUUGGAGGAGGAAAGGAACUUGAAGAAAAACUUGUGGUACGACCAACAAGUGAGACCAUUGUGAAUCAUAUGUUUACUCAAUGGAUACAAAGUUAUCGUGAUCUUCCUCUAAUGAUUAAUCAGUGGGCUAAUGUCACAAGAUGGGAAAUGAGGACUAAGCCGUUUGUGAGGACACUUGAGUUCCUGUGGCAGGAGGGUCAUACAGCUCAUGCAACUCUAGAGGAGGCAGAAAAGGAGGCAUUACAGAUGAUUGAUGUCUACAGGAAAUUUGCUUAUGAGCAAGCUGCAAUACCUGUUAUUGCAGGUAGAAAAUCAAGGGCUGAGACAUUUGCUGGUGCUACUCAGACCUAUACAAUUGAAGCUAUGAUGGGUGAUAGAAAGGCUUUACAAGCUGGAACUAGCCAUAAUCUUGGCCAGAACUUUUCUCGUGCCUUUGGAACACAGUUUACUGAUGAAAAUGGACAAAGGCAACAUGUAUGGCAGACUUCCUGGGCUGUUAGCACCAGAUUCAUUGGUGGUAUUAUCAUGACUCAUGGAGAUGAUGCUGGCCUAAUGCUUCCUCCCAGAAUAGCACCUAUACAAGUGAUAAUAGUGCCCAUUUGGAAGACAGCUGAUGAAAGAACAGAAGUUUUAAAUGCUGCAGCCUCCCUUGAGAGAACACUGAGAGCAGCAGGAAUCAAAGUCAAAGUUGAUGACUCAGAGCAGAGGACCCCAGGAUGGAAAUUCAAUUUUUGGGAGAUGAAAGGUGUCCCUUUGAGGAUAGAAGUUGGACCUCGUGAUAUUGGUAACAGGAGUGUGGUUGUAUGUAGGAGAGACAUCCCAGGAAAGCCUGGUAAGGAUUUUGGGAUAUCCAUGGAGCCUUCAAAAUUGGAAUCUCAUGUGAAGAGCAGGUUAGAGGACAUACAGGCAUCGCUUCUACAGAGGGCUAUAUCAUUCCGUGAUGGGUAAAUCUUAAUAUUCUAACAUCCAUUACCUACGUUGACUUGCUUGAAUCAGAAGUUUUAUGCAACUUAUAUGCCACCAGUGGUAAAGAACGGUAGAAUGGUACAUGUGCAAAUCCAGUUCUCUCUAUGAAAUUAACAUUGUGGAUGUGAACUCGUAUGAGGAGCUCAAGGCUGUAAUUGGUCAAGGAAAAUGGGCAAGGGGUCCAUGGUCAGCUGGUGAUAACGAGGAGUUGAAGGUGAAAGAAGAGACAGGUGCCACGAUAAGAUGCUUUCCGUUUGAGCAGCCCCUGGGGAAGAAGACAUGCUUCAUGACCGGUAAUCCAGCAGAUGAAGUUGCAAUUUUUGCAAAAUCUUACUAGGUUCUUUUGUAUCACCCUUUUCCAAAUGACUAGUUCAAGAGAAUUUUUUCCUCUUAUUUUACCAAUGUAUUCAUGUAACAAUAUUAAUUUACAUCUUGGACCCUUGCUCAUUUAAAUUAUCUAAACUAUAGAGUCAUCUGUUCAUUUCUAUGUAUUGGUACUUGUAAAUCUAUGAUUAUAAUUUAUCUCUAAAUUAAAAGACUGGCACAUGAGUUCUU